UGAUUCAAACCAGGAGUCGAGUGAUGGUUCAAACCACGAGUUUGACAAUGGUUCAAACCAUGAGUCGAGCUGUGGUUCAAACCAAGAGUCAAUCGACGUUUCAAACCUGGAGUCAUGAUUCAAACCAGGAGUCGAGUGAUGGUUCAAACCACGAGUUUGACAAUGGUUCAAACCAUGAGUCGAGCUGUGGUUCAAACCAAGAGUCAAUCGACGUUUCAAACCUGGAGUCA
RNAcentral lists this long non-coding RNA (230 nucleotides) under Rattus norvegicus (Norway rat). RNAcentral describes it as "long non-coding RNA NONRATT025344". Lineage: Eukaryota; Metazoa; Chordata; Mammalia; Rodentia; Muridae. The record is from RNAcentral.